Molecule: ribosomal RNA, 253 nt
Filed under: uncultured bacterium
Lineage: Bacteria
Description: partial 16S ribosomal RNA
Rfam family: Bacterial small subunit ribosomal RNA
Source: RNAcentral
CACGCAGGGCGCAAGCGUUGUCCGGAAUUAUUGGGCGUAAAGAGCUCGUAGGCGGUCUGUUGCGUCCGCUGUGAAAACUCGGGGCUUAACCCCGAGCCUGCAGUGGAUACGGGCAGACUAGAGGUAGGUAGGGGAGAAUGGAAUUCCCGGUGUAGCGGUGAAAUGCGCAGAUAUCGGGAGGAACACCGGUGGCGAAGGCGGCUUCCUGGACCAACACUGACACUGAGGAGCGAAAGCCAGGGGAGCAAACGGG